This is a long non-coding RNA of Penaeus chinensis, 409 nucleotides long. RefSeq lists it as uncharacterized. The transcript is spliced from 3 exons. The record is from RefSeq and is a predicted model, not a curated record. Lineage: Eukaryota; Metazoa; Arthropoda; Malacostraca; Decapoda; Penaeidae.
GUGGUUCCUCAGGCCCUUUGCAAUGGGCUGCCCUACAACGUCACGCCCUUCAACCAGUCCUGUAAUACAUAUCCCUGCACCGUACCUGAGUGGGUGGUGGGGCCGUGGAGUCCGUGCUCUCACUGGUGCGGUCUCGGCCUCCAGCGCCGGCUCGUGGCAUGCGGAAUGUCUUUGGUGGAAGGAGCGACGCCCCUCUCUGCAGCUCGCUUCCUGGGCGCUGGGAAAUGUUCUAGAGAACAGCCGGUGGACGUGAAGUUGUGUAAAGGAUCUUGUAUACAAGUUGACUGCAAGCUGCCAAGCAACCGUCUACACCCGGCUUGCUAUCACUUGCUUGGAGAAACUCCCAUUGAAAGAGACCACAAGAAGGUGUCGUGAACUUCCUAGGAAUUUGCAACUCGGUGAACUUGGG